This 209-nucleotide ribosomal RNA is filed under the name uncultured Geobacter sp. RNAcentral's name for it is "partial 16S ribosomal RNA". It matches the Rfam family "Bacterial small subunit ribosomal RNA", at positions 1175 to 1382 of the family's 1533-position model. Lineage: Bacteria; Pseudomonadati; Thermodesulfobacteriota; Desulfuromonadia; Geobacterales; Geobacteraceae. The record is from RNAcentral.
UGGGAUGACGUCAAGUCCUCAUUGGCCCUUAUGACCAGGGCUACACACGUGCUACAAUGGCCGGUACAAAGAGUUGCGAUACCGUGAGGUGGAGCCAAUCUCAUAAAGCCGGUCUCAGUUCGGAUUGGAGUCUGCAACUCGACUCCAUGAAGUUGGAAUCGCUAGUAAUCGCGGAUCAGCAUGCCGCGGUGAAUACGUUCCCGGGCCUU